GAUGAACGCUGGCGGCGUGCCUAAUACAUGCAAGUCGAGCGAACAGAUGAGGAGCUUGCUCCUCUGACGUUAGCGGCGGACGGGUGAGUAACACGUGGAUAACCUACCUAUAAGACUGGGAUAACUUCGGGAAACCGGAGCUAAUACCGGAUAAUAUAUUGAACCGCAUGGUUCAAUAGUGAAAGACGGUUUUGCUGUCACUUAUAGAUGGAUCCGCGCCGCAUUAGCUAGUUGGUAAGGUAACGGCUUACCAAGGCAACGAUGCGUAGCCGACCUGAGAGGGUGAUCGGCCACACUGGACCUGAGCCACGGUCCAGCCUCCUCCGGGAGGCAGCGGUGGGGAAUCUUCCGCAAUGGGCGAAAGCCUGCCGGAGCACCGCCGCGUGAGUGAUGAAGGUCUUCGGAUCGUAAAACUCUGUUAUUAGGGAAGAACAAAUGUGUAAGUAACUAUGCCCGUCUUGACGGUACCUAAUCAGAAAGCCACGGCUAACUACGU
This 496-nucleotide ribosomal RNA is filed under the name uncultured bacterium. RNAcentral describes it as "partial 16S ribosomal RNA". It matches the Rfam family "Bacterial small subunit ribosomal RNA", at positions 28 to 506 of the family's 1533-position model. The record is from RNAcentral.